GACGAACGCUGGCGGCGUGCUUAACACAUGCAAGUCGAACGGAAAGGCCCUGCUUUUGUGGGGUGCUCGAGUGGCAAACGGGUGAGUAACACGUGAGUAACCUGCCCUUGACUUUGGGAUAACUUCAGGAAACUGGGGCUAAUACCGGAUAGGAGCUCCUGCUGCAUGGUGGGGGUUGGAAAGUUUCGGCGGUUGGGGAUGGACUCGCGGCUUAUCAGCGUGUUGGUGGGGUAGUGGCUUACCAAGGCUUUGACGGGUAGCCGGCCUGAGAGGGUGACCGGCCACAUUGGAGCUGAGAUACGGCCCGUACUCCUACGGUAGGCAGCAGUGGGGAAUAUUGCACAAUGGGCGGAAGCCUGAUGCAGCAGCGCCGCGUGCAGGAUGACGGCCUUCGGGUUGUAAACCGCUUUCGCCUGUGACGAAGCGUGAGUGACGGUAAUGGGUAAAGAAGCACCGGCUAACUACGUG
RNAcentral lists this ribosomal RNA (468 nucleotides) under uncultured bacterium. RNAcentral describes it as "partial 16S ribosomal RNA". It matches the Rfam family "Bacterial small subunit ribosomal RNA", at positions 28 to 507 of the family's 1533-position model. The record is from RNAcentral.